RNAcentral lists this ribosomal RNA (229 nucleotides) under uncultured bacterium. RNAcentral's name for it is "partial 16S ribosomal RNA". It matches the Rfam family "Bacterial small subunit ribosomal RNA", at positions 568 to 796 of the family's 1533-position model. The record is from RNAcentral.
UCCGUAGGUGGAUAAUUAAGUCAGAGGUGAAAGUUUGCAGCUCAACUGUAAAAUUGCCUUUGAUACUGGUUAUCUUGAGUUAUUAUGAAGUAGUUAGAAUAUGUAGUGUAGCGGUGAAAUGCAUAGAUAUUACAUAGAAUACCAAUUGCGAAGGCAGAUUACUAAUAAUCAACUGACACUGAUGGACGAAAGCGUGGGGAGCGAACAGGAUUAGAUACCCUGGUAGUCC